CUGCAGGGGAGAGGUCGAGUACAGAUCCAGUUCAUGGAGGAGAUGCCAGCACAGGGUCAAUCAGUCUCUUGUUCGUCCUUCGGAUGGUUCACUGCUCGCAGAGGUUAUUUGCUCAUUCUCUGCUCGUCUAUGUCGUCAGCGAGAAGGUUAUUUCGUGU
Molecule: long non-coding RNA, 158 nt
Organism: Triticum aestivum (bread wheat)
Lineage: Eukaryota; Viridiplantae; Streptophyta; Magnoliopsida; Poales; Poaceae
Exons: 4
Source: RefSeq, a predicted model, not a curated record